CCUCUUGUUUGUUUAAAUCUUCUUUCUGUGCUUAAUUGAUAAAAGAAAACAUUUAAUUUUAGAACACUCCUCAAAUGGCCAAGGACAAGAAUUAUACCAUGGGACUGUGUAUGCUGCCUGUCGUAUAAUGUAAAUUUUCCUUUACAAAGCUACUAGUCUAGAACAGUAGAAGUGACUUUGGUCCAAAGCAUUGUUAUCUUACAUUAACUCAGUUUUGAGAAAAUGGAGGGCAUGUUUCCUUUCAGCCUUGUAUCAUAGAGAUGAAACUUAGUUUGAAUGAAUGUAAAAGUAUAAUAGGUAAACUUUGUAACCCUUCCAGUGUGUACUGGUUAGGUAAACUGGACUCAAUGAUAGGUACAUGGAGGGUAGCCCUCUGGGGUUAAUAGGACAAGGUAGAUCUUACAGUCUGGAUCAGGGAUCUGUAGAAACACAUUAUAAUGUUUCAGAUCCAAUCUUAAGUGGAAGAUAUGUGAGAAGAGCAAAUUGUGUGGCUUCUACUUAAAAAUAUGAGUGUCACUCAGCUGAUUGAACAUGGUUACACGGCUCAGUUGGAAGAGGUCUGGAUUAUCACACCAGAGGCCUGUGUUGAUGUUUGAUAUAUCUUUUUAUUUAUGCACUUGUCAAAUUUGUUGAGAUUAUUGUGGUAUGGUGCCCACCCACCCGACUAUCUGUCUCUCAGGAGUUAAACUGUUGUUUGUCUGGAGAUCUCCAAAAUGUUUUGAACAAUCUCUUUAAAACUUAGUAUGCAUCAUAAUCGUGAUAUGUACUUGAAAGGUAUGCAUCAUAAUCGUGAUAUGUACUUGAAAGGUAUGCAUCAUAAUCGUGAUAUGUACUUGAAAGGUAUGCAUCAUAAUCGUGAUAUGUACUUGAAAGGAAUUUUGAUUGCAAAAGUUGUUGCCCUUUGUUUAUUUCUAGUGCUUGAAUCUUGUCCUCAGAUCUCCUACAGUUUUCUACCGAGUUCUUUGAAACUAAGCAGGCUUAAAAAUCAAUUUAGCUUGAAGGAUUCCUGAACAAGGGGAUCAGUGUUUUUGUAACAGAGGUCAUUAUAAAUCAUAUUUGUUUCAAUGCCUCUGUUAGGGAUCAAACCAGGGACCUCUGGCUUAUUAGUGAUCAGUUCAACAAAUUGUCCUAAAGAGAAUAGUGCUCUAGUCGAGUGUAUAUUAUUGAGCUAGUAUUUAUCAGGGUUAUAUACCCUGGUAGGAAAGAACUCAUCUGUGAGUUUCCAGGGAUUACAGCAAUGCCAAUGAGGUUUCACUUAGUCCCGAGUCGUGAUAACAAAUGGCAAGGCUAUUGAUAAGUUAUAUAUGUUUCAAUACCUCAGCUAGGGAUUGACCCUGGACAUCUGGCGUAACUGUACUAGUCAUGUGUAAACCAGUUAUACUAAAGAGAAGUUCUGAGCAAUACAUUGAGUCUGUAAACGGGCUACAUUAAAUUAUACAUACUGUAGAAUACAACGUAUUGUGGGACAGAGCUGUGUAGUAAGGAUGUAAAGACUGUCUUACAUAUUUACAUAGCUGUGAUAACGUAGCUCUGGACGAUGGACGGAUAAUUUCUGAUAGAUGGUCAUGCCGGAGAGCAGUGUAGGCAGGGUAUGAAUAUCCAUUCUAAUAUUUUACUACUCUGCAUGUCCAAGGUGGGCGAUGUAAUACCUAAUGUUAGUGAGGUACUUAUUGUAAUCAAUUAUAAUCAUGUACUAAAAGUUGUACCCAUAUCCCAUUAUGGAAACAAAAUGGAUUUAUCGUAUGCGCUGAGAUGAGUCCUAUAUAUAGUCUCUAGCUAACAAGUCUUUAAAGUAUAGAUUUUAUUGAGUGUAAUUAUAAUAGGAUUUCACAUAAAUAUGGUCUGCAUAAUUUUCUGUGGUUGAGUAACCCUGUAACUAUAGGUUAAGGUAUAAACUAUAAUACAAUCAUUUGUGAUACUGGUAUAUAGUGAUUGUGUGGUAAUCAGACGUGUAUACAUUUAAAAUUUUGUACUUGUUAGACUCUCUGGAGUGGAACUUUUAUUUCUUGUUGAUUUAUCUAAUGGUUGGUGUGAUCCGUCUUACACAGAAAUGUCGGGUGUUUUUUAUCACCGAGUCGGUGUUAGUAUAGGUUGUCUGUUGUAUGAAAUAAUGGCUCAGUUACAAAUUGUCUGUUGUAUGAAAUAAUGGCUCAGUUACAGGGAAACUCUGAUUGAUAAAAGUAUUUUAUGUUACAAAUUGUGAUGUAAUCAAUGCUUUACUUAAUUUUGAAUGUUUACUAAUUUUCAUGCCAAAAAUAUAAAGAUAUUUAAUAUUUCUGUAUACUUUAGGCCAGUGAUUUAAACUUACCAUUACAUAUUUAGCAAUGUCACUAAAUAUCUCUGCUGAAUUUAAUUUUGAUUUAUGAGUGCCAAUUUGGCUUACUAUUGUUUAGAUGUAGGAUGUUCCGGGAAUGCUUUACAAAUGUACUUGUUCAGUGACAUAUUUGAGAAUUUUGUGAUAAAAAUUCAAUAGAAAUAAAUUGGAAAAUGAUAGAUUUAGGUAUUGUACUGCCUUCAGUUGUCAUUCAUUACCACAAUGAUUGCUAACUGGACAAAGGUAAAUUCACUAACUUGCUGAGUCAAACCUGAAAAGUGUUUUUGAUUGCUCUAGAAUAGCUUGUUAAAAAUCAAAACCAAAAUAGUGUUUAUAGACUUUAUUUAAUUUAGUUUGCUAAUUGGCUGUGAAUGAAAAUAGAAGAAUGCAGUUUAGUGUUUAGAUAUGACUAUCAAAUUGCGGUUAGCAAGUACAUACAGUUCUAUAUGGAAUUACUUAACAAAAAUUAAAAAAAAAAUAUCUGUAGAAAAUUUUGAUCAUCCUUUUGUUUGUAUGAAUAUUGUUGGAAUCAACAGACUUAUCUAUCUUGUUAUAGUUGAUUGUAUUGUGCCGUAACAGACUUCCUUAUCUAUCUUGUUAUAUUUGAUUGUAUUGUGCCGUUUUAUUUAUACCAUGAUUAUAACUGUAUGAGAAUGAGGUCUAUAUUUCAUACAUUAAAAGCACUUCACAA
Molecule: long non-coding RNA, 3005 nt
Organism: Pecten maximus
Lineage: Eukaryota; Metazoa; Mollusca; Bivalvia; Pectinida; Pectinidae
Exons: 2
Source: RefSeq, a predicted model, not a curated record